This 77-nucleotide transfer RNA is filed under the name Acidobacteriota bacterium. Its description in RNAcentral is "Acidobacteria bacterium tRNA-Arg". It matches the Rfam family "tRNA". From Rfam's summary of the family: Transfer RNA (tRNA) molecules are approximately 80 nucleotides in length. Their secondary structure includes four short double-helical elements and three loops (D, anti-codon, and T loops). Further hydrogen bonds mediate the characteristic L-shaped molecular structure. tRNAs have two regions of fundamental functional importance: the anti-codon, which is responsible for specific mRNA codon recognition, and the 3' end, to which the tRNAs corresponding amino acid is attached (by aminoacyl-tRNA synthetases). tRNAs cope with the degeneracy of the genetic code in two manners: having more than one tRNA (with a specific anti-codon) for a particular amino acid; and 'wobble' base-pairing, i.e. permitting non-standard base-pairing at the 3rd anti-codon position. Lineage: Bacteria; Pseudomonadati; Acidobacteriota. RNAcentral also lists the same sequence under 2 other names. The record is from RNAcentral.
GCGCCCUUAGCUCAGCUGGAUAGAGCGUCGGCCUCCGGAGCCGAAGGCCACAGGUUCGAAUCCUGUAGGGCGCGCCA